Molecule: RNA transcript, 1546 nt
Organism: Hibiscus syriacus
Lineage: Eukaryota; Viridiplantae; Streptophyta; Magnoliopsida; Malvales; Malvaceae
Gene name: zinc finger CCCH domain-containing protein 62-like
Exons: 5
Source: RefSeq, a predicted model, not a curated record
AUUUUCGUUAAGGAUGCAAAACAUGGAAAGAAGUGUGUACGAAGCAGCAAUAAGUGGGAAUGUAGCCGCCAUGGAUGCGCUGCUCGACGAAGAUGAGCUUAUUCUCGAUAGGGUUUCACUUACGUGUUUUCAUGAAACUCCCCUACACGUUGCCAUCAUGCGUGGACACCUUCAUUUCGCCGCAUCAAUCCUCCGUCGACGACCCAAGCUGUCGGGUGAAUUCGACGCUCUUCACCGUCUGCCUGUUCACCUGGCCGCCAUCGAGGGCCAUGCGGGUCUCGUCGAACAAUUACUAGACGUAAACCGAAGUUGUUGUUCCGUACGAGACCAGGAUGGGAGAACGGCGCUUCAUUUGGCAGCCAUGAAAGGGAGAGUUGAUGUUUUGGACGUGUUGAUCAGGUAUUGUCCCGAGGCGACAGAAGAGAGAUUGUACCGUGGGGAAACAAGUUUACACUUGUGCGUCAGAUAUAAUCAAUUGGAAGCUCUGAUGAUACUGUUGGAGGCUUCAAAUGAACGUAAUGGAGCAUUUGUUACCGUCCGGGAUGAUGCUGGUAACACCAUCCUGCAUCUUGCCACAUUUCUCAAUAAUUUGGAGAUUGUAAGAUAUCUUAUUUCCGUAUCCAGAAUCAAAGCUGAGAUAAACACAGUCAAUGGAAUGGGGUUCACUGCCUUGGACUUGAUAAACCAUUCUCCAAGAGAUUUCAAAACCCUUGAAGUAGAAAAUGUUUUGAUGAGAGCAGUAGCUAAUAGAAUUGAAGACCCGAAUAACCAAAUCGUUCAAUCUCAAACGCAACGACUAGUACCGAUUCCGAACAUUGGAGGGAUGAAAACCGAAACAAACGCGAAGAAAUCAUCAUGGCUCGUCCGGUUACGUCAAGUCUGCAACAAGCACAUGAAACACCAAGGCAAUUGGAUAGAGGAAAUGCAAGGUUCGCUGAUGCUCGUUGCCACAUUAACCGCAACCAUUUCUUUCCAAGUUGCUUUCAGCCCGCCUGGCGGCGUUUGGCAACAACAUUACCAUAAAGACAAGGAACCAAUUUGUAGUUUGUCCAGAGAUGGAGUUUGCCAACCGGGAACUUCUGUUUUAGCCUAUGUGUACCCUAGAGCUUAUUUCUUACUCAUAAUUUUCGCCACCGUCUCAUUCUUUGCGUCGAUCAGCAUUGUGAUGUUAGGCAUCAGCGGAUUACCUUUGAAGAACAAGAAGAAGAUUGCAGUAAUAACUAUGGGUCCGACCCAGAUUACCAUUAUGGUACAGACCCAAGUUACAGCGACGAAGAGGACACCAACACCAAAUUUCAGAAUUUGUCUAUCAAGGAAAAAUCAAGUUUUGCUAGGGAUUCCGAUUUGAAUAAUGAGAAAACCCCAGAGUUGGGGAUUGGGUUUUCACCUGUUGAUGAUAAAAUUUACGAGAAUGUUCAAAACAUUAUAAAAGAUGGGAGGCUAGAGAAGCUCAAAGUAGAUGAGUGUAAGAUUUAUUUGAGGAAAAAUGGUAUUAGAUUGAGUGGGAAAAAGGAUGUUCUUAUUCAACGCAUAAAGGAACAUUUAG